UACAGAGGGGGGCAAGCGUUUGUUCGGAAUUACUGGGCGUAAAGGGCGCGUAGGCGGCCGCCUAAGUCAGACGUGAAAUCCCCAGGCUUAACCUGGGAACUGCGUCGGAUACUGGAUGGCUUGAAUUCGGGAGAGGGAUGCAGAAUUCCAGGUGUAGCGGUGAAAUGCGUAGAUAUCUGGAGGAAUACCGGUGGCGAAGGCGGCAUCCUGGACCGACAUUGACGCUGAUGAGCGAAAGCUAGGGGAGCAAAC
Molecule: ribosomal RNA, 252 nt
Filed under: uncultured bacterium
Lineage: Bacteria
Description: partial 16S ribosomal RNA
Rfam family: Bacterial small subunit ribosomal RNA
Source: RNAcentral